This 325-nucleotide ribosomal RNA is filed under the name uncultured marine eukaryote. RNAcentral's name for it is "bacterial SSU rRNA". It matches the Rfam family "Eukaryotic small subunit ribosomal RNA", at positions 618 to 941 of the family's 1831-position model. The record is from RNAcentral.
GUUAAAAAGCUCGUAGUUGGAUUUCUGUGGGGACGGAGCGGCCGGCCGCACAUCGCGGUUCGAGCUAGCGCUUUCCCUACAUCCUGCCGCGAACCGUGCUACCAUUAGUUUGGUGGCGCUGGGGAUCGGCUCGAUUACUUUGAGAAAAAUAGAGUGUUCAAAGCAGGCCACACGCCUUGAAUAAGUUAGCAUGGAAUAAUAACUAAGGACUUCGUGUUCUAUUUUGUUGGUGUUCGGGACUGAAGUAAUGAUUGAUAGGGACAGUUGGGGCGGUCAGUAUUCCUUAGCGAGAGGUGAAAUUCUUAGACCUUUCGGAAGACUAACA